GAGGAUAUAGCUCAAAGGUAGAGUGUGUGCUUAGCAUGCACAAUGUCGUGGGUUCAACCCCCAAUACCUCCA
RNAcentral lists this transfer RNA (72 nucleotides) under Camelus bactrianus (Bactrian camel). It matches the Rfam family "tRNA". From Rfam's summary of the family: Transfer RNA (tRNA) molecules are approximately 80 nucleotides in length. Their secondary structure includes four short double-helical elements and three loops (D, anti-codon, and T loops). Further hydrogen bonds mediate the characteristic L-shaped molecular structure. tRNAs have two regions of fundamental functional importance: the anti-codon, which is responsible for specific mRNA codon recognition, and the 3' end, to which the tRNAs corresponding amino acid is attached (by aminoacyl-tRNA synthetases). tRNAs cope with the degeneracy of the genetic code in two manners: having more than one tRNA (with a specific anti-codon) for a particular amino acid; and 'wobble' base-pairing, i.e. permitting non-standard base-pairing at the 3rd anti-codon position. The record is from Rfam by way of RNAcentral. Lineage: Eukaryota; Metazoa; Chordata; Mammalia; Artiodactyla; Camelidae. RNAcentral also lists the same sequence under 2 other names.